Long non-coding RNA from Hyaena hyaena (striped hyena), 517 nucleotides. RefSeq lists it as uncharacterized. The record is from RefSeq and is a predicted model, not a curated record. Lineage: Eukaryota; Metazoa; Chordata; Mammalia; Carnivora; Hyaenidae. The transcript has 4 exons.
AGGUCCACUGCGGCAGGCCCGGGCCUCGCUGACCGUAGCCGGUCGAGCUGUACGUCGCUGUACACCUGGUUCUGCUUUCUCCUCCAGACGUGGGGCAGCUCGCCCGAGGCGAGGCAAGUGGAGAUGACCCAGGACAGAUAUUGGGACUGUAGGUGGAACAUGGAUACUGAGGCAUGAAGAGCAGAGGAAUAUCACCUGAGGCCUCCAUUUCUUGACGCAUGGACCUCUCCACAGCCUGCUUGAGUGGCCUCAUUUCAUGGCAUCUGGCUUCCUGCAGAAGGAAAGAUUCAAGAGGGAGAGAAGUGUGAGCAGUGGAGCCUGAGAAUAGCUGGGACCCAGGAUGAAAUGAGCUAUGGCAGCGUUCUGGCCUCCUGUACAGCUGUGUUCUCUGUUACCACUUGGGAUAUCUCUUUCUGGCCGUGACAGGAGGGAGGGGAUGCCCUGAGCUGAGUGGAGUGGGGGUCCUCACCUGGAACCCUUGGCCUCCUGCUGCAGCUCACUGGCCUUCAUCUUCACA